RNAcentral lists this ribosomal RNA (492 nucleotides) under uncultured bacterium. Its description in RNAcentral is "partial 16S ribosomal RNA". It matches the Rfam family "Bacterial small subunit ribosomal RNA", at positions 29 to 507 of the family's 1533-position model. The record is from RNAcentral.
AGUGAACGCUGGCGGUAUGCCUAACACAUGCAAGUCGAACGGCAGCACAGUAAGAGCUUGCUCUUACGGGUGGCGAGUGGCGGACGGGUGAGGAAUACAUCGGAAUCUACUUUUUCGUGGGGGAUAACGUAGGGAAACUUACGCUAAUACCGCAUACGACCUACGGGUGAAAGCAGGGGAUCUUCGGACCUUGCGCGAUUGAAUGAGCCGAUGUCGGAUUAGCUAGUUGGCGGGGUAAAGGCCCACCAAGGCGACGAUCCGUAGCUGGUCUGAGAGGAUGAUCAGCCACACUGGAACUGAGACACGGUCCAGACUCCUACGGGAGGCAGCAGUGGGGAAUAUUGGACAAUGGGCGCAAGCCUGAUCCAGCCAUACCGCGUGGGUGAAGAAGGCCUUCGGGUUGUAAAGCCCUUUUGUUGGGAAAGAAAAGCAGCAGGUUAAUACCCCGCUGUUCUGACGGUACCGAAAGAAUAAGCACCGGCUAACUUCGUG